ACAACUAGAGUAAAAUAUGACUUAUUCUCAAUAUAUGGUCACAUCAUGCAUACAUGUACUAUAAUUUUGUGGUGAAUAUAUAUAGCGAUCAGUUAUGCUAAUGCUAUUUCAAUUUAACCAACCUAAUAAAGACAUAGGAAUAUAUAUUUCAGCUUUUGUGCAGUGUGCAAAAAAGCUGUACAGUUACUGCCUUUCCUGUCGGUAAAUGAGCGGAGCAUCCAAGCACAUACAUGCAUUUGUAUGUGCUUAGAAACGACGGGCAUUAUUUAUCCUGCUGCUGCAGUAGCACAAAAGCCAAGUCCCUUUCGCAUCAACGCCUUCAGCCCUUUAUCCAUCACCAUUCACCAGCGAGGCUAAAGCUCCAAAAAGGCCAUCUAUUUUUUCAUUAGCACUAAAAACGUUGAUCUCUUUUUAACGGCCUUUUUGUCCCACCUAGCUAUAGCUUUCCCUUUCCAAACAUGCAGCAUCGAUCAAUUCAUACACGUUUUGGAUUAGAUCAAAAGGAAAAGUAUAUUACUACACGUUUGUGGAACAUCCCCGUACUACGCGCGUAAGUGUACCACCACUCCUCCACUCCAUUUUUUUUUCAUUUUGUUUUGAGAAACACGGUGCAAAGGCAGACUCUCAUAAAUACGCACAUUGACAUACACUCACUAUUAUGAACGCACACACGCAAACCAUACCACAUGCACCUCAUAGUUGACGUACAAACGAUCACCUUGGAGAGACUGAGCCGGCAAAUCUUGUGAUUGACAAAAUUAUCACAUGCACCUCAUAGUUGGCGGAUGCAUUACUCUAACCGAAAGUUAAACCCGAAACAAAUCCAGUUAAAUAUGACACCCAUGUCAAACCUAGACCUGACUUCAACAUGAGUUCAAUUAAGCCACCUGAGAUAUAUAUUCUCAGGCCGCUUAAAAUUAAAAUGAAAUUCCUUUUUCUUUCUGUGACGAGACUGCAUGUUUUGUUUUUUUCUGGCAGGAAGCAGUGACAAUCCUUAAAAUUGCAAUCUCAAAAAAUAAUAAGAAAUAAGUAAAGAUCAACAAUACAUUCAUCACAUUCAUUGGAUUGAAUAUCGCAGAUAGAUAACGGCAGAGAGCUAGAGCGAAUGUCCGAUGCGCUUCUUCUCAGAAUGUACUACCGGCCGGUCGAUCCUGCAUGCAGAUCAGCAUUGGAUCAUUCCUUUUGCUCGCUCCCAUACGUACAUAUCUCAAUUAUUACAUGGGAGUAGUACGAGUAAUAUAUUCCCCAGCACCAGGCAGCGAAGUGAAACAUAUCUCCAUUUUCACCGGAGCGCAUCGAUCCGGCUAGCGAUCGGCCGGAGAGGGAGCCGUGCGCGGCCGGAAACCGAUGGAUCCAAAAGGUAUAUAUCCCCCCGAAUUAACGUGCCUUUCCGACGACAAACUUAUAGCUAGUGCGCCCGGCACCACACAGCUAGCUAGCGCAUUUUGAUUGACCGAUCGUCUCAGAUCAGAGCUAGUCCCCUGCUGCUGCGCUGCACGGACACGUAUCGGGCGGCGAGCUCGCGGACUCCGUCUUGUCGCCCAAAAGACGGGUCGGGCUCGAUAAGUGUUUAACGGCAUCCAGGCCAUCGGCUGGAUAAGUAUAAGACUGUAUGCACGGUCUUUAAAGCUAAACUUUGACCUUGUUCCAUCUAAAAAAACAUUGACCUUGUUAUGAGAGUGUGCAUGCAUGGUAGGACUAAUUAACGCAAAAAUAUCUGCUGAAAAUAAUUGUUUUACGUGAUACCAUUUUAUUAUAUUGUAACCAAAAUUAGAAAAAAAUUUCAUGAAAGUCAAAGUUUUCGAGGUACAGACAAACUUUUGAUAAAGUUUGGUGGAAAUAAAAACAAUGGUUUGAGCACUCAUGAUUUUAUUUCUAGUUUUUUUCUUCUUCUGGUUUUUCCUUUUUAUAAAAAAGCCCCAGGGUUUUCCUCAUAUCUCCCGCCUCAUUCUAUUUUCUCUUGAUUUAUUUUAAUAGUUUUAUGAUCCAAAUACUUAAAUGCAUAUUGAAGGUCAAGGGUCAAAGUGUGCCUGUACGUGGGUGUGCUUGUGAGGGGGUUUAUAUGUUGUAAUAAUAGAAAUCAGCAAGACUAGACUCGGCUAAAUGUUGAGAAACACAAACAAAUGGAUUCUUUUUCUUGAAGUGUAUAUGAGAAAAGAGGUGUGCGCUAGAAAUUAGGGCAGUUAAUUAGCAGUAGGUUUGUCUAAUAGUGGGAGUGCGUUAAAAAUCAAGGUCGUGUUCUACGAGGAGUCAUAUAUUCUACUCCCUCCGUCCAACAAAAAAUGUCUCAAGUUUGUUAAAAUUGGAUGUAUCUAGACAUGACUUAGUUUAUAGAUGCAUUCAAAUUUAAUCAAAAUUGAGAUAUCCUUCGUUAGACGAAGAGAGUAGGUAAAAUAGCCCCAGGCAGCUACUACUCAUUGCUUAGCUAGGGGUACCAUAGAUAUGUGGUGCUUGUCCUUGUCAUGGGUCUCGCUCUGUGUAGACAUAUCGUAUGGCAUAAAGUGCAAACAGUGGAUGCAUUGUGUAUCGUGGUUAGAGGAUCCUCCUGGCAAUUUGCUUUUUGUCUUUUUUUUUGCCAACGAGAAUGCUGCAUGUGUGUAAUGGUACAAUAAUUUCAUGACAAUACUAAUGGGGGUACAACUUCUACUUAACAAAAUUAAAUAGAGCUAACUUUGUUAGUCUAUAUAUGGUCAAAGAUAGAGAUAAGCCAAACAUCAUGUGUAUUGGAAGUUUGGAACAGAACUAGUGCAGUUCAUCAUAUGCAUGAUUUUUUCUCUUAAAGAAAUUAUAAUAAUUUAUGGCCUUGGAUAAUUUUUUAUGCAUGCAAAUUAAUCGAGAACGGACGUCAUAAUUUGCCAGCUGCUUUGUCAAUCAAUAAUUCAAUAUAUACAUACGUGUACUGUACAGCGUGGAAAGAAGAUGCACGUGAUCCAGCACAGGUAGGCGAUGACCUCCACAAGUUGUCUCGUACGAUCGACCGGCCAGCGAGUCAAAUCAAAGGCAAAGAUAGUUGCAACCGGCGGGCGCCGCAGCCUCGUCCCAGGCCAGCAGCCACCGAGGUAAAGCUUUCGAUCUCCCGGGUAGAUUCCGGUAGCUUUUCUUCCAAGGGUAUAAAGAAAGGCGCUGUGAUUGGCUGGAGCUUGAGUGGAUCAAAAGGUUACGCAUUGUUGGACAAGGACGCCCAGCUCGGAGAGAAUCGGAUUUGCAUGGCUAUCUUUUCCUCUCUGGCUAGCUACCCUAGAAUCACGGCGCGUGAUCAGUCCAAGCUAGCUAUAGCUAGGUGGCCCAUAUGAUUUGGCCAAGUUUUUUUCUCUAGCUAUAGCUAGACAUGGAGCAACAGAGAGACGAAAGAAAGAGAUAGCGCCCGGCCCCUUUCACAGUUCGUUUUAGUAUUCACAAAUGUACUCCCUCUGAUAUAUAAAAAGUGUCGUACAUUUUGUACUAAGUUAUUACAAAUUUUGUACUAAGUGAACGACAUUUUUUAUGAAUCAGAGGGUGCAUUAAUUAUCAACGAUACAUAUAGGUUGGCUCCAAGGAUACCAUGCAAAAGUCCAUACAAUUUCAAACAUUUCAAAAGCUGAAUAUUAAUCUAUGAGGACACAUUUUUAUACUAAAUAUCCAUUGAACUUUGGACAUUCAAAGACUAAGUAACUCGGUAGUUGCGAAAUAUCAUUACAAACUAUUUACAUUCUCGAUUUUUUUUGCAAACUUUAUGAAAUCAAAUUCCGCACUUUCGAAACUGACAAGGCAAGGGUGUUUGAGUUGUACGGAUCAAAAUCUCUCACACUGUUGGACAAGGUUACAUGGAUAUAUCACCGCGAGAUCGAAUCAGAUCGGUCGCAUAUUUGCAUGGCCUCCAACGGCUUAGGGGCAAAAACCUUUCCUUGCAGGAUGCUAGCUUACUCUUGAAAUUUGCAUUUCGUUUCCUCCAUUCCAAGAACCUUCCUUGGAAAAAUUGGCUAUUAGCUCACUGGCCACAGCCCUUCAAAGCCACACCACCCACUUCCCACCUUGCUAAGCUCAUUUUACAGCAUAUUGAUUUGUUAAGAUCGAUUACUUCUUGCAAGGUUAGAUCAGGAGCCUCCACUUUCUUCUGGCUUGAUUGCUGGAUUUUACCUCAAACACUGGCUUCAGUUUUCCCUGCUCUUUUCACCCACCAUACUAAGCCGAAUGCUUUAGUUAUGGACGAGGGACUUGAGCAUGGCUUGCGAAAUCGACUGACUCUCGCUGCUGAGGCAGAACUCGAUCUUUGCUUCUUGUGUUGCAGGACGUUGCUCUUGAUGAUGCUCCCGUUGUCAGGACUCUAAAGGAUGGGUCUCCACUUUCCACAAGAGGCGCCUACCUUGCCCUUUCCGCUGCCCCCAAGGACCCUAACGCUGAUUUUAUUUGGCAAGCCUUCGUCCCUAACAAAGUUAAGGUCUUCGCUUGGCUCCUCUUUAGGGAUCGACUCAAUACGACGCAAAAUUUUUGCAUCACAAAUUCAUCACUCAAUCGGCGGCCUGUGCGAGCUGGGAUCAUGGUUCAGAAGGCCGCGAGCACCUGUUUCUCUCAUGCCCUCUUGCGCUUCAACUCUGGGAUACGCUAGGUAUUCCGACUCUUGGAACUGCCUUCAUCGAGCUAUGGCAUCUCCGUCCUCCAUUGGGUCUCAACGUUGAUGUUUGGCCUUCCGUCUUGCUUAUCAUUCUCUGGAGGAUCUAGAAAUCUCGAAAUGCCAAGGUCUUCAAUAAUGAGGUCGUCUCCUCGGCUCAUAGCCUUGUAAUGAUAAUUGAGGACCUAACCUUAUGGACUUUCAGAAUUACAAAAAACAAUACAAAAAUAGCCGCCGAUCCGUGGCGUGACUAUUUAUCACCCCGUUUGUAAUUCUCGCUUUGGAGUAAUAUAUUCAUGGGCUGAAGGAUCUUUUGUUCUCCCUGGGAACUUUGUGCGAGAUAACGCCACUUUGCCUUGCAAGUUGUGAGAUUUCUCUUUCCAACGGAACUUCAGAAGUGAUGUGCGGACAUACGUUCUCUUGUUUGCUAAACUUGAACAUCAAUCACGUGGGGGCGCUGGUUGUCCGCGUCGACCAGGGAGCUUCUUGAUGCCUUGCAUUUUUCAUCCAUCAGCUAGGGCAUGUUUUGUUCUUUUGCAUACUUUUCUAAAAUAUUUCUUUUCUCUUAGUAAAGAUACAAGAAUCUCUCUAUAAUAAAGAAAUAUAUUUUAAGUCUUGUUUUUCGUGGUUUGAAAGUCACCUUUUUUUUACUAAAAUUUCGAAUAGAGGGGGUACGUGGGUGGGGUAUAGGUGUUAACCUUGAAUUUUCCAAAUUUCAAACUGAGAUUUAAGAUUUAUUUUUUAAUUCACAUGAAUGUUGUCCAAAAUAGAUCUUUUUGAUAACAGAGUUUGAAGAUUUUUGUUGAAUUGAAUGUUAUUAAAAAAUGAUUAUUAUUUUGAUAGGUAUGUCUUUUUCUCUAUGGGGGAGGAGAGUAGGCGCCAUAGCGAUAACUUCUGUGAAUGGCCAUUAAUUAAUUGGAAAUUAUUGACCUGUAAUCCUGAGUGCAACACAAAUCAACCACCAGCAAAUGGGUUUUUGGUCACCGGAUGGUAUUUUUGGUUACCGUUUGGUAACCGCAUCAGCAUUUCCUAUCCACCUCCACCCGUACGUGCGCGUGCAAUGGUUUGUCAGUCGGAAAAAUAAUCAUGUUCUUUCGAAAAUUUUGAAGUUUGAGUGAUGAUUGGACAUGUGAUCCCCAAUUAGAAGAGACAGCUUUGUCUACUAGUACAUGAUAUUUGCAUUUGGGAAAUCACAUAUAUAGGUGCAAUAUAUAAUUAAGGUUAGGAGUACAGUGAGGAAUCAUUAGCUAGGGCUGUAGUUUUAUCUAGUGACUAGUGGUGUACGUUAAAAAUUGUCAUGGAUGUAUUAAUUAAGUUUAAUUAGGAGUACGGUGAGGAAUCAUUAUCGAGAAAUAGAGCUAGCUAACUGUGCUACUUGUUGCUUAGAUAAUAUAUAUGUGGUGCUUGUCGUUGUCAAGGGUCUCGCUCUGCGUUACACAUAUCGUAUGGCAUAAAGUGCAAACAAUGGAUGCAUGCAUGUGUAUCGUGGCUAGCCAAGUGAGACGAUCCAUCUCUUCUUUUUUUGACAACGAGAAUGUUGUAUGUAGUGGUACAAUAAUUUCAUGACAAUUGAUCCAAUGGUACAACUUCUACUUAACAAAAUUAAACAAGCCUUGUUAGUUCAUGGUCAAAGAUAGAGAAACGAACAUUGGAAUGAGAGAAAUGGAAGGAUCUUUAAGCAUCGCCGGCGAACGGCAGUGGUGACGGUGGAGCUUGUUCAGGAGGAAACUCGUCUAUGGAGUCAUGUGGACUCUUUGGGGAUUGGUGCCCUCCUAUCGGGAGAUGAUGAUGUUCCUUGAACUCUUGAUAAUGAAAGGCACGCUGUGCUAUUUUCAUCAAGAAAAAAACAUCAUGCAUGAUGUUUCUCUUAAAGAAUAAAUGUGGAUCGAGAAUUCAUCAACGGACGUCAUUUGCCUGCGUGCAUGGUAAAGAUGAUACACGUGAUCCAGCAGCGAUGACCUCCACAAAUUGCCUCGUACGUAAGACUGGCCGGCCAGCGAGUCAAAUCAAAGGCAGAGAGGAGAAGUAGUUGCAGAGCUUCGUCCCAGGCCAGCAGCCACCGGGGCAGAGCUUUCGAUCCCCAGAGUAGAUUCCAGUAGCUUUUCUCCAAGGGGGGGAUAAAGAAAGGUGCUUUGAUUGGCUGGAGCUUGAGCGGAUCAAAACGUUACGCAUUAUUGGACAAGGACGCCCAGCUCGGAGAGAAUCGGAUUUGCAUUUGCAUGGCCAUCUUUUCCUCUCUGUCUAGCUACCUAGAAUCACGGCGCAUGAUCGAUCGAGCUAGCUAUAGCUAGGUGGCCCAUGUGAUAUUGUGCCAAGGAAGGUUAAUUUUCUCUAGCCAGACAAUCAAUGGAGCUCCUUUCACCACAUCCAUAUAUCUUUAGACAUUCUCUAGACUUCUCUCGGUGUUCUUUCUAUCUAACCUUUUAGUUGAAAAUAAAUCGUUUCGUAGUCCAUAACCUGGCACCUUUGCCUGCCUUUUCUCUUGAACCGGGCUACAUAUGUUGUUGCUAGGGGACAAAGCAGCGCCGAUAUUGACGAAUGUUGCUCGUUCGGUACUCUAAUCAAUCGUUUUCUUCUUCUCAGAGUCGAAGUCAAACAUGCAUGGAUAAUAUCAAAUACGAAUACGAGUGCAAAUAGCUAGUACUAGUCAUGAAUAUGGAUUGGGAAUACUAAUUGUGAUCAUUUAUAAAUAUUUAGCUGAAAAUUGCAUACAUAUAUAUUGUAACAAAAAAAGCGUACAAGAUUUCAAACGUCUAGCUACAUUUGCGGUUCGACGUCCAUAGAUAUAUAUGGCUUCUAGGUGAUAAAUAUAUGGGAUGGAUUCAAAAGUCAUUUACUAACAUAUACAACAUCAAUUUAGUAGCUAGCCAUAUAUAUUCGAUGACAAUACAGAGUUCACCUAUUGAAAACAAAACUUCAUGAUGAAUAUGUAGAAAUACAACUUGAGAGCAAAAGCAUGACCAUAUGAGCAUGUAAGAUGUGAGUUCAAAGGAGUGGCGCAACAAAAUUUUGAAUCAGGUUGGUCCGUUUGAUUUUAAAAAAAUUGCUACAAAAAUCUAAAAUGCUAAUAUAUAUACUGCGACUGCGAACAUGCGCCCUUUCCUAUCACCACCUGCAUAGUUAGUGCCCGCCGCACGAUGUCAGCCGCCUACAUGCCACGUGACUGAGCUCUUAGCUCGCUAGGUUUUGGGAAUUGGGAAUGGCAACACUCGUAGAGUAAUCGAGCGUUUGAGUCAGAAACGGUACAAUCUGUCACUGCAAUGAGUCAAAAGACUCAAAACAUACGGAUCUAAACACACAACUGGGGCUUGGGUGUGAGCUGUAUUUUUUUUUUUGGGUUGAAACUAUACGAGGUUAUAAUAUGGGCUGAUGGCAGAAUUUCAUGGCUGUGCAUGAACCACCCUGAUUACUCUAUAACUAUACCCUACCUUGGAAGGGACAUGGAUGAAGAUUGGACGAAAACAUAUAAAUUGUUUGAAGCAUAGCUUAACUUUAGAUAUUCUAAAUUGAAUUAUUGAAAUAGAUUUUUUUUGUUAAAAACCUAUAUAGCCAGGUAUAAACGCACAUCACUCAUAUCAUAUCCCACCUCCUAUCUUAUUUUUUAGAAUCAAAAUCGAAGACGGAAGGUACCAGACAUCGGUUUCUCUAAACCAUAUAUAUCCACUUUAUAAACUUUUGGCAGAACAGACGAUCGGCGAGUAUUCUUCUUGUUUUGUUGAUCCCUAGUUGUCGCUUUCUUAGAAAUAUCUUGCCUAUACAAAUAUCCGAGUAACAUAACUAUAUGAGAAAAGUAUCUUUUUCAUCUCUCAAUUGAUAACAAAGUCUAGAAAUGGUCCUUCAAUUUAUAAUCGUAUACAUUUGGUCCCUUAAUUGGCAAAACCAGAUACUUUUGGUCCCUCUCCUGAAUUCUAAACAAUUUUGACUCUAUGUUGAGCGGUUUCCCCCGAAUUUUCCAUGUCGGAUGCCUCGAUGGCUUUAGGUUCCUCCAAAAAAUAAUGGUCCCUGAACUCGAAAUUAUAUACAUUUGGUCCAUCAGCUAUUCAUCGUGGCAUCUGACCUGGAAAAUUCUUAGGAAAAACUGUGACAACUGGAGUCAAAACCGUAAAAAACGGGCCGGAAGAGUGACUAAAAGUAUAUGGUUUUGCCAAUUGAUGGACUAAAUGUAUAUGAUUUUGGGUUGAGGGACCAAUUCUUGAUUUUGUUGCCAAUCGAGGGACGAAAAAUAUACCUUUCUCUAAAUAUAUAUAUACUCUUUGGAAAAUAACUUAUUUGUAUGUUUUGUGCAAAGAAGUUAGAUUCGCUACAUAUAUGGGUGUUCAAAUUCGGUUUCACUUGAAACCAUGGAAACGGCUGAGGGUUAAUCCAGUUCACUUUCCUUACUAAAGUCCAAUCACCCUCGCAAAAAAUUGUGCUAGAAAAAAAAGGGUUCAGUUGAAACCAUUUUGAACACCCCUAGAUUUGAAAUGUAUGAGUAGUCAGCAAGGAGUUUUUUUUUUCCAAUUUCAAGAAAGUCACGUAUGACUUAAAUUUAUAUCACGUGCUCAAUUUGUAAGUUCGUCUCUCAUACAUCUAUACAUUUUGAUCUUAUCAAUUUCAAUUCAGAAACACAUUGUUAACGAUACAUAUAGGUUGGCUCAAAUGAUACUAUGCAAAAUUGCAUAGCAUUUCAAAAAGUAACUUGGAUUUUUUUUAAUAUAAAUUACAAAUUAACGCAAAUUAAAUUCCAUGCACUUUCGAAGCUGACAAGGAAAGGGCAUUUGAGUUUGCGCGGAUCAAAAUCCCUCACACCGUUGGACAGGGUUACAUGGAAAGAUGUCACCGCGAGAUGGAAUUAGAUUGUAUUUGCAUGGCCUCCAACAGCAGGAUCUUUUUCCAUGGUGCCCAACGGCCAGCAGGAUCGAUCGUAUCUUUUUCUCUGCAUUUGCAUGGCCUCCGACGGGCCGGAUGAUCUUUUACUCUCUUCCUGGGAAAACUUUGCGCGAGAUAACGCCACUCUGCCCCCCCCCCCCCCCCCCCCCCCUGCAAGUUGCUGCUAUAGCUCUUUCCAGCGGAACCUGAGAGGUGAAGAACCUGUCUGCUGAACUUGGACAUCAAUCACGUAGGGGCCGGCUGUCCGCAUCGACCUGGCCGGGCUAGCUAGCUCCUGGAUGCGUUGCUUUUCGUAUCCAUCGGCUGAUAUCUAUCGCAUGGUUUCUGCAGUUGCAAAGGUCACCAUCUGCGAUUUUCUCUCCAACAGCCGUUGAAAUUUCCAGCGGCACUAACAUACUAACGCUAACUGAGUUUUGACAGUCCUAUUUGCACUUGUUUGUACUGCACUUUUUCUAAUACAGUGGUUUCUAAUUAGCACACUUUUUCUAACAACAGCUUUCUCAACCGCACAUUUUACAAUGGUUUUUACUACACGUUCUCUAAUCUCUACUGCAUAUUUGCACCAGUUUAUACGGUAGUUUUUCACUUUUGUUCUUACUGCACCUUUUCACUGGUUUCUGCUACAGUAUAUUUCAGCACUAGUUUCUAUCAUUACACUUUCUGUACUGUUCUUGCUGAACUUUCUCGCUGUCACUGGUUUUUAAUGCACUUCUGCACUAAUUUCUACCGCACCUUUCCUAGUACACUUUUGUGCUAGUUUCUACUGCACAUCUACACUAUUUUCUAAUGCACUAAUUCUCCACAUGUUUCUGCUGCACGUUCUCGCUGGUUAGUAUUGCACAUUUACAGAGUAUAAGAAAAUCACAGUGCUCCCUCCGAUCCAUAUUACUUGUCGAAAUAUUACAUGUAUCCAGACGCUUUUUAAAGAUAAAUACAUCCAUAUUUGGGUAAAUUUGAGACAAGUAAUAUGGGUCGGAGGGAGUAGAAACUUUUCAUCACUGCUACAGUAGAAAGUAGCCACAUGCAGCAGAGAGUAAGGGCAUCUCCAAUAAUAGAUUGUAUGCUAAUUUGUACGUAAAUUGUCCGUAUCGAUCUUCUCAACCAACAGCAACUCAUCAUACAACUACUCCAAAUCCAAUAGGUUGUGUCUAAGUUGUCCAAUAGGAAGAGAGGGAGAGAGUAAAUCCAGAGAAACAAAGUCUGUUAUCUCAAAACAAAAAAGUUCUCUCCUUACUCGGUGUAUCCCUUUUUUAGGGAACUCCUUAUUGGGUAGUCAAGUCUCAAGUGCCUACUGGGCCUACAAGAAACCAGGCCGCAUCGGGCUAUAUAGGCCGGUCUAGAGCCGUCCCUCCCAGCCCAGCACAGACUUCUGUGUCUUUUAUUUUUAUUUUUGAACUCCAGACUUGUGUAUUUUGAGCAGUAGUAUCUGGUGGCCUCAUGAAAAAUCGUUCCACGCCGGACAGACAUGCAAAACGUGGCCGUUUCCCCCGGCAUCCUGGAGGGCGAAACGGCCGGCUCGUGAUUUUGCCGAAUCGGAAGAAGAAAUGGCAGAGCGUGGGUUUCCAUAAUUCCAUUCCAUGGAGGAAUUAAUUCCUUGCCCCACCCCACUGCCAGCCGAGGGGAGUACUCCGUCGAGUGUAGUCCAGUCGCCUGAUUGCCUGACCAGUCAAUUAAGCUGAGUCCCUUCUAUCCGCUGCGUCUCCGGCGCCGGUCCUGCGUGAAAGCUACGGCCAUGUUUCGUUCCUAGCUACAUGCCACAGCUAGCUUCCGUGCAUCUUCAGACUUGAGAGAAGUAUGUAGCGAGCUUGAAUUAAACGACGGCUCGACUUUUACCCACACGACUACGUGCCGAGACUCGAGAGCUAGAGCUGAUAUUUGGGAUACAUGAUUAGACGUGCGCUGGCCGGUCUCGAUCAUGUAUCAGCGUCCAUAUGUUACACGAGGCCAAAAAGAGAAGAAUCACAGAGAAACAUUGGAGACAGAAAUUAAGUGGAACGGUAUAGAACCUGCAGCCUGCAGGCAGUGCGUGCGCGCGACCAGUCUUGCGUACACAUACUGACAUACUCCAUUCAACGGAGAUUACUGGUUCCCGGCCGGAUCUUGGCACUUGAUCUGCACUACGACUGCAUGCACGCAGGCGACCUUUCCCUUCUUCCUGGAGUCCCUCUACUAUAUACUGGUCGGUCAUCGGACUCCGGAUCGAGCCAGCUGCGCCGUACGUCUAUAUAGCUUCCUCGUCUUCAAUCUGCAGGCAGCUAGCUAGAGUCCUAGAGAUAUUCUUUCUGCAGCUUGAUUUAUUGGUUGGAGGCUCAUGGAAAGCCGAGGCAGAGGCAGCGGCGGCGGCGCAGCCGGACGACGGACGCCGCCGCCACCGUCGGAGGUGAAGGUGACGCACAUCAUUACGACGGAGGUGAGCGCGGACGAGGCGAGCUUCAAGGACGUCGUGCAGAGGCUCACGGGGAAGGACUCCGCGCCCGCGCGAGCCGCCGUACUACUGGCUAAUUCCGCCGCUCCGGCAGCAGGUCCAAGCAGGGUUAACAAUGGCAGCUCCUCCGUCGCCGGAGAUGGCGGCAGCGCCGGCGGGGUCGAAGGGCCGAGCGCGGGCGCAGCUCCUCCGUCGGCGUUCGAGGGCACGCUCCCGUCGUUGGAGGAGAUGAAUCGCUGGUGGGGCACGCAUGGUUGAUUCGUAUACUGUAUAUAGAGUACUUGGGCACUUCGCAUGCACGCUUUGACGCACCGGCCGAUUGUUUGCAAGACAAAUUUUGGGUUAAUUAAUUUGCCAGCUAGGCCGUGUAACUGCUUACGGGUACUCCUAGCUAGAUCACUAUGUAAUGGAUCCAUUGAAGGAGUAUAUCUUGAGUCACAGGAAGGAAUUUUAAGGAAGAGGGGAUCGAUCGAGUUGCAGGAAGGGAAUGGGUGUGCCACAAUUAUCCGAAUUGUUCUUUCUUUUGGAAUGCAAAAAUUUGAACGUGUAUACAAUUCUGUUUUUUUCCUGGUUCUGUCUCUUCGUUAUAGUGAAAAUUGCCGUGACGUUUUUCGAAUCUGCCAGAAUUACAGUGGAUAUGUUUAAUUAACCCUUUCAUUAUAAAUCCAGUAUAACCUUUUUGUUUUGAAAUCAUAAAUCCAGUAACUAGGCACGGAUAUACUCCCCCGUCUCAAAUUAACUGACGUGGAUUUAUAUAGAUUCUUAUACAAAUCCACAUCAGUUAAUUUGAGAGUCGGGACGGAGGGAGUAGUUAAAGUUUCACAUCACAUUGGUACGGUAUAAAAGGGGCAAAGUUUUGCUAAUGCUGGCAUUUCUUGUUUAAAUUUACCGGACUACGUGUCUAUUUUACAUUUAGUUUUUUCUCUCAAACGUAAGCAAAUUUUAGUCAAUUUUGCGAUUACCAUGGACGAUGCCAUUGUCACUAGCCCUAACAAGAUACUAGCACGACCUAUGUACUAACUAGAUACUAGCACGACCUAUCUACUGACCUUGUGAUCGACCCACCAACACCGAGUAGUGACGGUCUGACGAAAGUGUUAUAUCGAACUUUUGCGCAGAACAUUCAAGUGGUUAUUGGCCAAAGCAAAAAAAAAACCCGAGGGCUAUCGUUACACGGUUACACACUUUGGGGUCGUUACUUUCAUACACUACCACAAACCGAUAUAUCCCCGUCGGGCGACUUCUAUUCCUGUCGGGCCCGCAGCCGGCCAACAUGAAUAUAAGUAUUCCCUGUCAGGAAUUACAUGGCACACAGGAGAACAAAAUUUUUUCCUGGCGGUCGGCUCGAAACACACAGGAAAAUACAUAUCCUGUCAGUCUAGAAUUCCACACACGGGGAUGAACAUAUAUUCCUGUCGGGCAACGGUUCACCGACAGGAAUAUAAGCUCCUCCUGUCGGUUUUUUUGUCGGGCUGUCAAGGAAAUCUUCUAUUCUUGUCGGGCUUUUUUUCUGGCUGACGGGAAUAUGUAUUUUCCCGUGGGUUGUCUAUUGACAGGAAUAGGAAUUAAAAAAGGUUUUGAAACUUUUGACUUACCAAAUGAGCUCCAAAUUGGACGCGACCGAGCAAGGACUCAUGUUACACCCUAACAAGUUUGAAAUCAAAAUAUGAACACUAAAUGUGCGAUAUGACCAAUUUGAAAGAUCGUUUGGUGUAGUUGAAAUAACAGAAUUGGAACUUGUUUGGUCAAGUAAAGGAAACUCAAUCAAACUCAUAACUGCCUCAAUGGAAUCUUUUUCUUCUUUUUUUCUUCUAAAUAUUCAGUUAAGACCAUUCUAAGGCUCCUUUUCGCCAUGCAUAAACUAAACCAACAACUAAGAUAAGCACGAAAAUGAAAGCUUCGAUAAAAACGGAUACACCCAAUACGUCGAAACUCAUUGCCCAAGGGUAGAGAAAGACGGUUUCCACAUCAAAAACAACAAAAACUAGCGCAAACAUGUAAUAGCGUAUUCGGAAUUGUAGCCAAGCCCCUCCCAUGGGUUCUAUACCCGAUUCAUAACUAGAAAGCUUCUCGGGUCCUUCACUAAUCGGGGCUAAAAGCCCUGAAAUCCAAAAUGCCAAAAUCAGAAUAAGGCUUGCUAUU
This 14024-nucleotide long non-coding RNA is filed under the name Brachypodium distachyon (stiff brome). RNAcentral describes it as "long non-coding RNA (BDIS_LNC000956)". The stretch from base 2257 to 2391 matches the Rfam family "MIR1120/MIR1122 microRNA precursor family". The record is from RNAcentral. Lineage: Eukaryota; Viridiplantae; Streptophyta; Magnoliopsida; Poales; Poaceae.